GAUGAACGCUGGCGGCGUGCCUAAUACAUGCAAGUCGAGCGAACGGACGAGAAGCUUGCUCCUCUGAUGUUAGUGGCGGACGGGUGAGUAACACGUGGAUAACCUACCUAUAAGACUGGGAUAACUUCGGGAAACCGGAGCUAAUACCGGAUAAUAUUUUGAACCGCAUGGUUCAAAAGUGAAAGACGGUCUUGCUGUCACUUAUAGAUGGAUCCGCGCUGCAUUAGCUAGUUGGUGAGGUAACGGCUUACCAAGGCAACGAUGCAUAGCCGACCUGAGAGGGUGAUCGGCCACACUGGAACUGAGACACGGUCCAGACUCCUACGGGAGGCAGCAGUAGGGAAUCUUCCGCAAUGGGCGAAAGCCUGACGGAGCAACGCCGCGUGAGUGAUGAAGGUCUUCGGAUCGUAAAACUCUGUUAUUAGGGAAGAACAUAUGUGUAAGUAACUGUGCACAUCUUGACGGUACCUAAUCAGAAAGCCACGGCUAACUACGUG
RNAcentral lists this ribosomal RNA (497 nucleotides) under uncultured bacterium. Its description in RNAcentral is "partial 16S ribosomal RNA". It matches the Rfam family "Bacterial small subunit ribosomal RNA", at positions 28 to 507 of the family's 1533-position model. The record is from RNAcentral.